Molecule: ribosomal RNA, 641 nt
Rfam family: Eukaryotic large subunit ribosomal RNA
Source: Rfam
AAAAAUUCGAGGGAAUGGUAGGACAAGAUCAUGAUUGAGCUAUCCCUUUUUCGCUUCUGGGAUUUUUGGGUAGAUAUAACUGGCUUGUGGCAGCCUAGCGUUUAUAGCGGCGGCGCUUUUUGAACCUUCGAUGUCGGCUCCUCCUAUCAUACUGAAGUAGAAUUUAGUACGCGUUGGAUUGCUCACCUACUAAUAAGGAACAAGACUUGGAGGUUUGACCUUCCUGAUAGGUUAGUUUUACCCUCCUGAUGAGAUGUUGUUGCAAUAGUAAUUGACCUUAGUACGAGAGGAACUGUUCAUUCGGAUAAUUGGUGUUUGGGCCUGCCUGAGCAGGCAGUGACCCGAGGUUAUCGUCCGUUAUGCUAUGGCUGAACGCCUCCAAAUCAUAAUGCGUGCUAGAACGCAACUAUUACCACCUUUCUCCGAUUUUUAGUCGAACACGAAUAGACCCUCGAGUCCAAGGUCAUACUACGGGUGUAUGUUGCGGGGUGGAAAGACCGCCUAUGUUUCUGUGCAGGGCAAUUUCAAAUAUCGCAAGAGAUAAAUUCACUACAAACGACUUUAUUUGAACAAAGUAAUGAAAGCAAUAGUGUAGCCUUAUUGCUACGAUCCUGAGAUUAAGUCUAUUGUUCUCUAGAUAU